Long non-coding RNA from Lycium barbarum (goji berry), 538 nucleotides. RefSeq lists it as uncharacterized. The record is from RefSeq and is a predicted model, not a curated record. Lineage: Eukaryota; Viridiplantae; Streptophyta; Magnoliopsida; Solanales; Solanaceae. The transcript is spliced from 2 exons.
GCCAUCGACGGGUGGGCGACCAUAUUCUUCUGUACCCUAUGCAUUACUUACAUAUUUUUGAAAGUACAGACGCACAGUUUGGUGAUCUACCCAUUUAGGACACCCUAUUCUGCUGUUUGGAGUGCUCUUCUCAUUUCAGAGCACACAUUUUGGUAUAUAUUCGUUCGCCAUGUAUAUAUGUAUUUGUUCAGGGGCACGGCGGGGCCCUGUCCCGCCAUAUGAUUCGGUUUGUCUGUUUAGAGGUCUGUAGACGUAUUUGUGGGUGUGUGUGCCUACUUCUGUACGGAUGUGUUUGCAUGACUCUAUUCGUUAUGGCAGCCUCGUCGGCGUGCAUUUUGUAUAUGUUUGUGGCAGCCUUGUCGGCGUGCAUUUGUAUAUGCGUUUUGGGCCGUUGUGCCAUUUGACAGCCUUGUCGGCUUUUGACAUAUUUGAUAGCCUUGCCGGCUUUUUGAUAUAUGUGCAUAUGUUCGGCGAUGUAUAUUCCGCCGCCUCUUCUGAUUCUGAUAUAAUGUUUUGUACGCGCAAUCGCGCAAGAUAA